RNAcentral lists this ribosomal RNA (465 nucleotides) under Vreelandella stevensii. Its description in RNAcentral is "partial 16S ribosomal RNA". It matches the Rfam family "Bacterial small subunit ribosomal RNA", at positions 338 to 795 of the family's 1533-position model. Lineage: Bacteria; Pseudomonadati; Pseudomonadota; Gammaproteobacteria; Oceanospirillales; Halomonadaceae. The record is from RNAcentral.
CCUACGGGUGGCAGCAGUGGGGAAUAUUGGACAAUGGGGGGAACCCUGAUCCAGCCAUGCCGCGUGUGUGAAGAAGGCCCUCGGGUUGUAAAGCACUUUCAGUGAGGAAGAACGCCUGGUGGUUAAUACCCAUCAGGAAAGACAUCACUCACAGAAGAAGCACCGGCUAACUCCGUGUCAGCAGCCGCGGUAAUACGGAGGGUGCGAGCGUUAAUCGGAAUUACUGGGCGUAAAGCGCGCGUAGGUGGCUUGAUAAGCCGGUUGUGAAAGCCCCGGGCUCAACCUGGGAACGGCAUCCGGAACUGUCAAGCUAGAGUGCAGGAGAGGAAGGUAGAAUUCCCGGUGUAGCGGUGAAAUGCGUAGACAUCGGGAGGAAUACCAGUGGCGAAGGCGGCCUUCUGGACUGACACUGACACUGAGGUGCGAAAGCGUGGGUAGCAAACAGGAUUAGAUACCCGAGUAGUC